This 311-nucleotide non-coding RNA is filed under the name Fragilariopsis kerguelensis. Lineage: Eukaryota; Bacillariophyta; Bacillariophyceae; Bacillariales; Bacillariaceae. The record is from RNAcentral.
AAAAAGAAUAAGAGAAAAAAUAAAAAUGAAACCAACGACAACAAGUUUGAUUAUGUUGUCGUUGCCGUCUUAUUGGUUUUGGUUUUGUAUUAUUCGUUAUUUUUUCUUUCCGUGAAUCAGUAUUGUACAAUGACCGUCGAAAAAAGACAGACGGAAAAACGAUUUCCAAUUCCUGCUAUCUACCGCAGCAUAUGUAUGGUGACGUCGAUGACGAUGGUAUCAUGGUUUGAAAAUUAUUAUUGUCUCUUGAUAUAUCCAAGGAGAGAUAAUAAAUAACGAGAAACUUCCAUGAAGCCGUUUUUCCUUUUGUA